RNAcentral lists this ribosomal RNA (739 nucleotides) under uncultured bacterium. RNAcentral describes it as "bacterial SSU rRNA". It matches the Rfam family "Bacterial small subunit ribosomal RNA", at positions 768 to 1504 of the family's 1533-position model. The record is from RNAcentral.
AUUAACAGGAUUAGAUACCCUGGUAGUCCACGCCGUAAACGUUGGGCGCUAGAUGUAGGGACCUUUCUACGGUUUCUGUGUCGUAGCUAACGCAUUAAGCGCCCCGCCUGGGGAGUACGGCCGCAAGGCUAAAACUCAAAGGAAUUGACGGGGGCCCGCACAAGCGGCGGAGCAUGCGGAUUAAUUCGAUGCAACGCGAAGAACCUUACCAAGGCUUGACAUACACCGGAAACGGCCAGAGAUGGUCGCCCCCUUGUGGUCGGUGUACAGGUGGUGCAUGGUUGUCGUCAGCUCGUGUCGUGAGAUGUUGGGUUAAGUCCCGCAACGAGCGCAACCCUCGUUCUAUGUUGCCAGCGCGUUAUGGCGGGGACUCAUAGGAGACUGCCGGGGUCAACUCGGAGGAAGGUGGGGAUGACGUCAAAUCAUCAUGCCCCUUAUGUCUUAGGCUUCACGCAUGCUACAAUGGCCGGUACAAAGGGCUGCGAUACCGUAAGGUGGAGCGAAUCCCAAAAAGCCGGUCUCAGUUCGGAUUGAGGUCUGCAACUCGACCUCAUGAAGUCGGAGUCGCUAGUAAUCGCAGAUCAGCAACGCUGCGGUGAAUACGUUCCCGGGCCUUGUACACACCGCCCGUCAAGUCAUGAAAGUCGGUAACACCCGAAGCCGGUGGCCUAACCCUUGUGGGAGGAGCCGUCGAAGGUGGGAUCGGUGAUUAGGACUAAGUCGUAACAAGGUAGCCAAU